This 244-nucleotide ribosomal RNA is filed under the name Volvox carteri f. nagariensis. Its description in RNAcentral is "large subunit ribosomal RNA". The record is from RNAcentral. Lineage: Eukaryota; Viridiplantae; Chlorophyta; Chlorophyceae; Chlamydomonadales; Volvocaceae.
GAAUAUUAUGCGUGAGACAGUUCGGAUUCUAUCUUUGUUAGCAAAGGCAUUUAUUGCCAAAGCAACUAAAGCCUUUGAGAGCGAGUACGAAAGGACCAAUCUCUUAUAAACCUCUGGUGUACUUGUUGUCUUGUUUACGGCAUAGUAAGAAAGCUACGUUUAAUGAGGCUAAUUUGCUUACUUUCAAUAAUAUCGAAUGAGCUUAGUUUAAAUAAGCUAAAGAAUUUUAUUAUAUAAAUUGUUC